UAGUAUAAAAUUGAGUUUAAAGAAACACAAUAAGGAUUAUUGUGUUGACACUAUAGUUAAUCUAUAUAUUGAAUGUGUUAAAUAAUGUUAUUUGUCUUUACUACUAAGUAUGCACUUUUACAACCAACAUUUAUAAGGCACGUAUAAAACAGUAUAAUAAUGCAUCAAAGGUUCAUUUUAAUAAGCAAGCACUUACUAAAUGUUCUGAAACCGCGAGCCAGUGGAAUAUGCUGUUUUUUCGUCCGCGAAAAAAAGAAUAACACUCGAAAUUAUAAUUAAGACUUCUGCUAACGUUAUAAUAUUUUAAGUUACUGAAGCCUCUUUAUGGCCCAAAUCUGAUCAAACAAUCACGGAAACCCUGUAACAUGUCUGAUUGGUAACUUACUUUUACUUUAAUUUCUCAGAAAGCAUGUUUUGUGUUUAAUGAUUUAAAAAAAAAAAAAAAAAAACGUAGAAAUUGCGUUAACAUUAACUCACCUGUAAAUAAACAUUAACCAUUCAUGGAGUCCUUUAUGGGAUCCUGAAAAAAUCGAUCCAGUCCUGAUCGAUUUUUUCUUCUUUUGGACGUGGCUCUGUUUGCGAUUGCACACCCUUAAUAAAAAAAAAAAAAAGAAAAAGAAAAAAAAAAAGAAGAUUGAUUGUACUAAAGUAAUCAGUAGCCUAACUGUUAAAUAAAUACAUUUAAAUAAAUUACUUUUUUCUCCAACCCACUUACCAGGCAUAUCCAUCUAUUCUGUUGUCUUUGACAAACUUCAUUUUUCUUCUGCAGUGUCCACAUCGCAUUAUUUUGGCUAAUAAUUUUUUUCGCUGCAUCCAUUUGAUAAGCUUUAUCUUAUCAUUUUUUUCGUGCAGUCGUGAUACUGUAUGUAAAGACACCAUAUUUUAAAUUUCGCGCCUAGCUGCCUACCUGCGCGGUUUAUUUCUAUACGUGUAAUAUACGUCAUCGAACCGCGUUAUCACGUGACCUUAGUAACGGCCUUUAUUGGUUAGAAAAGGAAUCGCUUAGAAUCCUGGAGAGACACCUACACAACUGGUCCACUAUGGCCAGCAAAAGAGUGAAAAGGAGAGGACAAAAAAUAUGGGAUGAAGAGACUGUAGAGAGCCCCAAAAAUGUGACACAAGAUCUGCAAGCUGCUAAAGAAGUAACGUUAGAGAAGCAUGUAGGAGAAGACCAGAGAAUGGAAGAUGAAGAUCAUGUGUCCAGCAAGGAGAGUGAACAGUGUGAUGAGACUCUGUUCAGUGAUAAAACCAGCUCCCUGAAGUUGCAGCAGAAAAAUAAAAGACUGCGGAAAAAAAUUAAGAAAAAGCAAGAGGAAAUUGACACCUUGAAGAAAAAGUUGAGAGCAAGAACAGGGAAAUCAAAAAAGUACAAAUCCUGAGAUUCAGAUGAUUCCAGCUCCACCUCCAGCUCCAGCUCCACCUCCAGUUCCACCUCCAGCUCCACCUCCAGUUCCACCUCCAGUUCCUUGUUUUCAUCUACUUCAUUCUCCAAAAUGAAGAAACCCCACAAGAAAAGUAAAAAGAAGCACCGUCAUCCUCUGGCAAUGGCAAGAGCUCGCACAACUGAUGAUGUGGUACAUAGGUACCAUAAAGUUAUGAAGGCCUAUAAGAGUCAGGGGAGCAUGACUAAGGCAUUUAAAAUGGUAGGUGUGGAUCGGAACACACUGGCGCUGUCUGCUCCCCUGGCAGAAAUUGCAAUUGCAUGUCCAAAAUUCUUAAAGAGCCUUCCACCAUUUAACCUCAGAAAAGAGAAGCUUUUAGACUACUCUAAGCGUUGUGCGGAGUCAAUGACUCCAGAGGUCAGCACUAAAAUUGAAGAGCUAAAAGCUAAAGGCAAGCUUCUGCCAAUCAAGUACAAAUACAGAUAAGCCCCUUAAUAUUUAAUAGUUUAAUAAUGUUAUAGUUUUAUAUUGGGGCUAUUUUUGUUUUUUAUUUAUUCAUUUAAUUUGUUUCACAAGCAGUUCCACUAUGUUAGAAUGCACUUAAAAUGUGUUUAAGUAAUAUGUUUUGCUUAGCAAUGUAUUAAAAGCCAUUCUAUUCUAGUGUUCCAUUGUUUUAAAGCUUAAUAAUAAA
Megalobrama amblycephala (Wuchang bream) is the source of this 2073-nucleotide long non-coding RNA. RefSeq lists it as uncharacterized. The record is from RefSeq and is a predicted model, not a curated record. NCBI's taxonomy places the organism in Eukaryota, Metazoa, Chordata, Actinopteri, Cypriniformes, Xenocyprididae. The transcript has 5 exons.